UAAAACUGAUAUAAAUUAAUUUUGGAAGUGAUAAAAAAUGUGGAAGUGGUUGGAUAAAUAAAUGUGUUUGAUCAAAUUUUAUGUUAUUUUAAGUUGUUUAUACGUAGUUAUAUAUAUAUAUAUAUAUAUACACACAUAUAUAUACACUUUAAAUGUAGAUGAAAAUGAGCAGCAUUGGCAAUUUAAAUUGAAAUGGUUAUUUUGUAUUGUUUAGAAUUAUAUAAAUUAUGUAUUCGUAAUUUAGGAUUAUGGUUAUUUAUAUAUGCAUACAUGGUUGACUAUGUGGUUAAAGGUAGUUAAAAAGUUAUUAAUGUUGUCAAGUUACAUUUAUAGGUUGUAUUUUAUAAUGGCACCAAAAAGGAAUUUGCGAUCUCAAUCGAAGAAGGGAGUUAAGAAGAUGCAAACUAAGAGACGCGGUGGCAGCAUAUCAGCACCUAACUCUAAGCGUCGACAAACUACUAGGCAACAAUCCAAAGCUGAGAAAGAAACCACCAAACUUCCAGGGCACGUUCCACUCUCCUCUUCCUCAUCUGAGAUGUCAUCCAUCAAAGGCCGUUAUCCCAUAUGGGAGGCAUCUCGAAGCACAUAUUCAUGUGAUUCGACACUUCGUAGCUAUGUGCGUGGGAAGUCACCCAAACUUAGCGUGCCGUGAUGGAGAUGUGAUUAUUGUACAUCCCUGUCAACAAUGGAGGUGCCCAUUGGUUGGCAGCAUGUGUGGACUUGAAAGCUCGACAUAUUGAUUUAUACGAUCCAAAUAUGGGAAAUAAAUAUGUCUAGAAUA
Ziziphus jujuba (common jujube) is the source of this 781-nucleotide long non-coding RNA. RefSeq lists it as uncharacterized. The transcript is spliced from 3 exons. The record is from RefSeq and is a predicted model, not a curated record. Lineage: Eukaryota; Viridiplantae; Streptophyta; Magnoliopsida; Rosales; Rhamnaceae.